Molecule: long non-coding RNA, 214 nt
Filed under: Mytilus galloprovincialis (Mediterranean mussel)
Lineage: Eukaryota; Metazoa; Mollusca; Bivalvia; Mytilida; Mytilidae
Source: RNAcentral
UAAAUCCGAUAAUCCAUGCGUUACUAUGUAAUAAUCUGUUUCUCUACUGAUUAAAAGAUACAUUUUCCUUUAUUCUAGAAUAAAAUCCCUUUCGAGUACCUUCCACUUUCCACGAAGUUGUCAAUUACUUUAACACCUUUUGAAAAUUUCAGGGAGCUGAGAAAGGUUAUGACCCUUUGACUCAGCCAAUCAUCUGAGAUCACUGGCAACCACA